This 256-nucleotide ribosomal RNA is filed under the name uncultured archaeon. RNAcentral describes it as "partial 16S ribosomal RNA". It matches the Rfam family "Bacterial small subunit ribosomal RNA", at positions 521 to 776 of the family's 1533-position model. The record is from RNAcentral.
UAAUACGUAGGGUCCGAGCGUUGUCCGGAAUUAUUGGGCGUAAAGAGCUCGUAGGCGGCCUGUCGCGUCUGCUGUGAAAGUCCGGGGCUUAACUCCGGGUGUGCAGUGGAUACGGGCAGGCUUGAGGUAGGUAGGGGAGACUGGAAUUCCUGGUGUAGCGGUGAAAUGCGCAGAUAUCAGGAGGAACACCGGUGGCGAAGGCGGGUCUCUGGGCCUUACCUGACGCUGAGGAGCGAAAGCGUGGGGAGCGAACAGG